AAUCCAGGUGAUGAGUACUUAUGUUAAUUCUCACGAUGGUCAUCUGAGAGUCAACUGCCUAUGUGGUGGUUUGAUUUCUGUGAGCCGAUUGAUCUUUCUCUGAUGGUU
Molecule: small nucleolar RNA, 108 nt
Filed under: Zostera marina
Lineage: Eukaryota; Viridiplantae; Streptophyta; Magnoliopsida; Alismatales; Zosteraceae
Description: Small nucleolar RNA Z161/Z228
Rfam family: Small nucleolar RNA Z161/Z228
About the family: Z161 and Z228 are members of the C/D class of snoRNA which contain the C (UGAUGA) and D (CUGA) box motifs. Most of the members of the box C/D family function in directing site-specific 2'-O-methylation of substrate RNAs.
Source: Rfam by way of RNAcentral